RNAcentral lists this non-coding RNA (21 nucleotides) under Caenorhabditis elegans. The record is from RNAcentral. Lineage: Eukaryota; Metazoa; Nematoda; Chromadorea; Rhabditida; Rhabditidae.
UAAAUUCCUCUUUAUAGGUAA